AAAACGACUCUCGGCAACGGAUAUCUCGGCUCUCGCAUCGAUGAAGAACGUAGCGAAAUGCGAUACUUGGUGUGAAUUGCAAAAUCCCGUGAACCAUCGAGUCUUUGAACGCAAGUUGCGCCCGAAGCCGUCAGGCCGAGGGCACGCCUGCCUGGGCGUCACA
This 163-nucleotide ribosomal RNA is filed under the name Amelanchier utahensis. RNAcentral describes it as "5.8S ribosomal RNA". It matches the Rfam family "5.8S ribosomal RNA". Rfam says of the family: 5.8S ribosomal RNA (5.8S rRNA) is a component of the large subunit of the eukaryotic ribosome. It is transcribed by RNA polymerase I as part of the 45S precursor that also contains 18S and 28S rRNA. Functionally, it is thought that 5.8S rRNA may be involved in ribosome translocation. Lineage: Eukaryota; Viridiplantae; Streptophyta; Magnoliopsida; Rosales; Rosaceae. The record is from RNAcentral.